Molecule: ribosomal RNA, 361 nt
Filed under: Acrapex yakoba
Lineage: Eukaryota; Metazoa; Arthropoda; Insecta; Lepidoptera; Noctuidae
Description: partial 12S ribosomal RNA
Source: RNAcentral
UAAAUUUUAAAAUUAUAAUACUAAAAUAGUAAAUAAUUAUUUAUUAAAACUUAAAUAAUUUGGCGGUAUUUUAGUUCAUUUAGAGGAAUCUGUUUAAUAAUUGAUAUUCCACGAAUAAAUUUACUUAAUUUUUAAUUUUGUAUAUCGUUGUUAUAAAAAUAUUUUUUAAUAAAAUUAAUAUUUAAAAAUUAUUAUAAAAAUUUAAAUCAGAUCAAGAUGCAGAUUAUAGUUAAGAAUAUAAUGGAUUACAAUAAAAUUAUUUAAAUGGAUGUUAAUUUGUAAGAUUUAAUUGAAAGUGGAUUUAAAUGUAAUUUUAUUUAAUUUAAUAAAAUGAUUAAAAAUUAAAAUAUGUACACAUCGC